UCCUCGAUGGUCUAACGGUUCAUGAUUUCCGCUUGUCACCAUUAGGAACAAGCGCGGGAGACCUGGGUUCGACUCCCAGUCGGGGAG
This 87-nucleotide transfer RNA is filed under the name Aspergillus terreus NIH2624. Its description in RNAcentral is "tRNA ATEG_10419". It matches the Rfam family "tRNA". From Rfam's summary of the family: Transfer RNA (tRNA) molecules are approximately 80 nucleotides in length. Their secondary structure includes four short double-helical elements and three loops (D, anti-codon, and T loops). Lineage: Eukaryota; Fungi; Ascomycota; Eurotiomycetes; Eurotiales; Aspergillaceae. The record is from RNAcentral.